AAAAAAAAAAAGAACACCAUUUCUUCCCUCUCUCUUGCAUCGUCGCCCAUCAAUUCACUACCAUUGCCAAAUUCUAUCUGACAUCAGAGUAAUCAACAUUGUCGUCGCCACCUCUCAAUAUCCUUGGGUUAUUUUCAUUUUCAUUAAAGUGAAGCAAAAGGAGGAGAAAGAAUAGAUAUUUCAGUGUAAAGAUUAUUUUUCAAAACAGGAUUGUUAAAUUCCAGUAACUAUUGGCAGCAAUUGUGUUGUUAUAUUAAUAUGCACUUGUGACAUCUUCAUAUCUACAAAAAUUUUAUGAGAAUUUCAUGCUCA
Long non-coding RNA from Populus nigra (black poplar), 312 nucleotides. RefSeq lists it as uncharacterized. The record is from RefSeq and is a predicted model, not a curated record. The transcript has 2 exons. Lineage: Eukaryota; Viridiplantae; Streptophyta; Magnoliopsida; Malpighiales; Salicaceae.